Molecule: ribosomal RNA, 253 nt
Filed under: uncultured bacterium
Lineage: Bacteria
Description: partial 16S ribosomal RNA
Rfam family: Bacterial small subunit ribosomal RNA
Source: RNAcentral
UACAGAGGGUGCAAGCGUUGUUCGUAAUUAUUGGGCGUAAAGCGCGUGUAGGCGGCUUUGCAAGUCGGGUGUGAAAGCCCUCAGCUUAACUGAGGAAGUGCGCCCGAAACUGCUUGGCUUGAGUACCGGAGAGGAUGGCGGAAUUCCCCAAGUAGAGGUGAAAUUCGUAGAUAUGGGGAGGAACACCGGUGGCGAAGGCGGCCAUCUGGACGGAUACUGACGCUGAGACGCGAAAGCGUGGGUAGCAAACAGG